AUGAUAAUUUGCAGUCAGAAGAAGCCCAUGCAUACUUUGUCGCCUAAAAGACUAUCAGAUCCUACUCAAGAUUUAACGUUGUACUUACAUCAACAUGACAUUACUUGCAAGCUUGAGACGGUUAAUGACUCUAUUAUUAAGGAAGCUCAUCGCUUGCAUCAAAUCGAAUUGCGUGAAAAAGAACAUUUAAAGUUCUUGCGCCUUCUUCUUAAGGAUUUUAUGAUUGAAGCUGGCAUUGACACUGAGAAUUGGAUUCUAAUCCAAUUAGCAACAGCUCUGAAGAUGAUCUGUUACCCUGGAGCAUCGUAUAGAGUUUACCGCCCUGAUAAGAUUUUCUUACAUGGCGAAUAUGCAAAGAUGAAGGCCCAUGCAUCUGGAUAUGAUAUAAUCUUUUCUAAGAUUGAUGUCUUGGUUGUCUACGAAGAUGUUAUUGCUCUCAACUCAGAGAAGUACUUCUUAUUGUCCAAAUUGGAUGUAUUUGUCAAGAAGGCUGCAGAAGAUUGGAAGAAGGCAAAUGCUGUCAGGUUACGCAAAGAUCAUGCUUCAGGGACUGAUUUAUGCACUGCCUCCUAA
This 573-nucleotide ribosomal RNA is filed under the name Triticum aestivum (bread wheat). Its description in RNAcentral is "partial small subunit ribosomal RNA". Lineage: Eukaryota; Viridiplantae; Streptophyta; Magnoliopsida; Poales; Poaceae. The record is from RNAcentral.